This 85-nucleotide non-coding RNA is filed under the name Halanaerobium saccharolyticum. RNAcentral describes it as "ZTP sequence". It matches the Rfam family "ZMP/ZTP riboswitch aptamer (pfl RNA motif)". Rfam says of the family: Previously known as pfl RNA. ZMP is also known as AICAR. The record is from RNAcentral. RNAcentral also lists the same sequence under 1 other name. Lineage: Bacteria; Bacillati; Bacillota; Clostridia; Halanaerobiales; Halanaerobiaceae.
AAUGGAUUAUAUGACUGGCGGAUAAAUAUGGGUUUAACCAUAGGGGAAUAUAAUCUUUAAUGAAUCGCCCGCCUGGAUAUUGAAU